CGUGCCUAAUACAUGCAAGUUGAACGCAACAAAGACACCAGAGCUUGCUCUACCGUCUUUGUUGAGUAGCGAACGGGUGAGUAACGCGUGGGUAACCUGCCUUAUAGCGGGGGAUAACUAUUGGAAACGAUAGCUAAUACCGCAUAACAAUAGAGAUUGCAUAAUCUUUAUUUGAAAGUGCCAACUGGUACACUAUGAGAUGGACCCGCGUUGUAUUAGCUAGUUGGUAGUGUAAUGGACUACCAAGGCGAUGAUACAUAGCCGACCUGAGAGGGUGAUCGGCCACAUUGGGACUGAGACACGGCCCAAACUCCUACGGGAGGCAGCAGUAGGGAAUCUUCGGCAAUGGACGAAAGUCUGACCGAGCAACGCCGCGUGAGUGAAGAAGGUUUUCGGAUCGUAAAACUCUGUUGUUAGAGAAGAAUGUUGAUUAGAGUGGAAAAUUAAUCAAGUGACGGUAUCUAACCAGAAAGGGACGGCUAACUACGUG
Molecule: ribosomal RNA, 490 nt
Filed under: uncultured bacterium
Lineage: Bacteria
Description: bacterial SSU rRNA
Rfam family: Bacterial small subunit ribosomal RNA
Source: RNAcentral